RNAcentral lists this long non-coding RNA (209 nucleotides) under Ricinus communis (castor bean). RNAcentral describes it as "long non-coding RNA (RCOM_LNC002296)". Lineage: Eukaryota; Viridiplantae; Streptophyta; Magnoliopsida; Malpighiales; Euphorbiaceae. The record is from RNAcentral.
CAAGUACCAUUUGCAUCUAAUGCAUUCAUCUCUUCUAUCAUGGCGUGGCGCCAACCAGAGUGAGAUAAAGCUUCAUGCACUAUUUUGGGAAUAAUGAUGGAAUCAAUAGAGGCAAUUAAAGAAUAGGAAGAAGGUGACAAAUGAUCAUAAGAUACAAAGGAAGAAAUGGGGUAAGUGCACUGACGCUUACCUUUCUGAAUGGCAAUAGG